GCGUGCAGGAGCGGUGGGGAAGCCACACACGAGAGAGCUGCAGGAGCCCCUUAUCGUAGCCAAAUCAGAGACGGACGACGGAGUGAGAGAGUAGAUGCAAAUCGUGGAACUGGCCAGGUCCUUGAUUGAUGGCGAGCUUAAUGGAGCCCUGAACCUAAAGCAAAGCAACUGCUGAAGAACUGAGUCGCACCUCUCCUGCCAGGCUGGUAGGGGGCUCUUUGUGGCCCACAAACUCUCCCCACUCAAAACCUUGAAUUGUCCGCCUUGUCCACAUACAAUCUUUUUUUCCACAAACCCCUCCUAUGCGCACUUUUCCUCCUGGACAAUCACAUUCAACCCAGACGUGGGUUACAUGAACUGUGGGUUGGGUUGGUACAUUGGAGUCAAUUUCCCAAGUGUUGGGAAUUUUGUGGACUCAUUGGCGCUUUGCAUUGACAUUCGAAUUGUAUAUCAAUGUUUCUGAGUCAUGUCCUGAAGUUGCAUAGUUAAUGAAUUAUUUUGAAUAUUCAUUAUUGAAUGGCCAUUUAUGAGUUACUGUUUGUUAUUCACUGUAAAUAUUUGCACUGUUGGCUGUCUUGUAUGUUUAAAGAAAUAUUCAAUAUAUGGUACCUGCAAA
Amphiprion ocellaris (clown anemonefish) is the source of this 616-nucleotide long non-coding RNA. Lineage: Eukaryota; Metazoa; Chordata; Actinopteri; Pomacentridae. The record is from Ensembl.